Molecule: long non-coding RNA, 2028 nt
Filed under: Gallus gallus (chicken)
Lineage: Eukaryota; Metazoa; Chordata; Aves; Galliformes; Phasianidae
Description: lncRNA (ENSGALG00010006573.1)
Source: RNAcentral
UUUCCAUCACGUUUCAUUUAUUUGUUUUACUUUGAGCUCUUUUGUAACAAAAAAUAAAAAUGCAUUUUACCCCUCUGAGCACCAGACUUAAAUGGGACUGACAUCUCUACCCCCAUAGGAGUAGGAAACAUCAGCAAACUUGAGUCCAGCAACAACUUUUGUUGUGCAGACAGUAGGACUGCAGCCAGCAGAAGCACCUGACUGCGUGUGGCGGGGUGACGCAGCCCGGGCAUCGCUGCUCCGAGGUCCUCCAGCAGAUGGAGACAUGGGAAGAAAGGAGGGAGAAGGGAGGGAGAACAGGAGGAAAAGCUCCAAAACGCAGCCUGCCAGCAAGGGCCUGCUGUGCCCCAUCUGCACGGCCUGGCUCCAGGUGUGCUGAUCCAGUAGUGCUGCAGGGAGAGGUCUGAAGUGAUGUCAGCUGAAGGGACACAGGUCAGCCUCAGCCUCAGCAUCUCCCAGGCCAGGGCCGUGGCUAAGAAUGAUUUUAGGGCUGAGGAGCAGAGGACCACAUGGUAAAUAGGAAGAGGCAGUGAAUAGCUUCAUUGCUCCCCAGAGACAUCCAUUCCCCCUCUUGCAGACAGUUGCAAGGAAGCUGGAAAGCAGAGUAGCAGCACUACGAUGCUGUACACAGGCCUUUCCUUCCCUUGUCACUUCUCAGAGCAGCUGAGACCUCAUUUCCUACAAACCAAGACAAAGUCUGGAAAUGGGGUCUCAUCCUGGCUGCAGCACAGCAGGCAGGAGGUGGGGGGCUGGCAGCUCCAGCUCGCAGCUGCUUGGGCUGUUCUGCACCUGGGGCUGUCUGUGCCUUUGGGUUGCCUUUGCUGGAGGGGCCUCUCAGGCACCUUACAACCUCUGUGCUCUUUGAAAUGUGCAUGCCUGCUUUACAAGCAGCCCUUUAAGGUUUUCUGGCACCGGUACAGGGAUGCUCCAACUGACCUAAUUUCACUGAUCUUUCUUAUCUCUGACCUCUGUGGUUCAUUGACUACAGGGAUUGCUGGGUUUCUCAUUAGUGGUUAGAAAGUAUUUUUAUGCUCCUGUUCACUUGACACACAGCAAAAUCUUCCAGAAAGUAAUCUUGCUGUGCAGCUCAGGGCUGUGUUCCGCAGAGGAGCAGGCUUCUGCCACCAUCAGCCCUUCUCCAUCACAAGGGAACAGCCAAGGAUGAGCUUCAGGGCUGGGUGCUGAGUGCUGUGCCUCAGGGUGCCUCUCCCAGCGGGUCCCUCCGCAGAAAAGAUUCUCUCAAAGGGUUGAAGCCAGAAGGGUCCAAGUUCCCUUUCAGGCUGGUUUACUCGUGAUUUUCUGAAAAUUUUCAUAGAAUGGCUUGAGGUGAAAGGGACCACAGAGUCUGUCUCGUUCCAACCCCCCUGCUGUGAGCAGGGUUGUCAACUGCUAGAUCAGGCACCCCGCUCAGGCUGCCCAGGGCCCCAUCCAGCCUGGCCUCGAGUGCCUCCAGGGAUGGGCAUCCACAUCUUCUGUGGGCAGCAGUGCUGGGGCCUCGCUGCCCUCUCAGUGAAAACCUUCCACCUGAUAUCAUCCCUGUGUUGAGAUCUUUAAUAUAUAUAUAUUGUAUUUUAUUUAAACUGCUCAAGCUCCAUACCUCUUUAGCUGGGCCACUUCUCUCAGCAUGUGGACACUGACUGUUCUUUCUUCUCUGCUUGCAGGCUGUUGGAGCGGCCUCCCACAGGAUGGUGAUGGGGCUCGUCACAGUGCAUGGGAUAACUCAGGGAUGUCUUUCUGCCACCCCACCCUCCCUAUCUGUCCUGCGAGGCUUUCCAGCCUCCUUCACGUCAGUGCAAAUGAGGCUGUGCAGCUCUGCGCAGUCCCUACAGACUUGGAGGGGAGAGGGAGGAGCAGUGCCAGGACUGCUAUCGCUGCGAGGGAGUGAACGCCCAGCAUCAGCCAGAUAAGGACCCGGGCUGAGAGGCCUUCAUCCUUCCUGAGGACCCACUGGGUGAUGGAUCAGAACGCUCCUGCCCACACUGGUUGUUCAAGGCACUGGACCAGACCUCAGGCUGAGCUCUCCCAGAG